CGGAGGAUCCAAGCGUUAUCCGGAUUUAUUGGGCGUAAAGAGCUCGUAGGCGGUUUGUCGCGUCUGCUGUGAAAUCCCGAGGCUCAACCUCGGGUCUGCAGUGGGUACGGGCAGACUAGAGUGCGGUAGGGGAGAUUGGAAUUCCUGGUGUAGCGGUGGAAUGCGCAGAUAUCAGGGGGAACACCGAUGGCGAAGGCAGAUCUCUGGGCCGUAACUGACGCUGAGGAGCGAAAGGGUGGGGAGCAAACAGGCUUAGAUACCCUGGUAGUCCACCCCGUAAACGUUGGGAACUAGUUGUGGGGUCCAUUCCACGGAUUCCGUGACGCAGCUAACGCAUUAAGUUCCCCGCCUGGGGAGUACGGCCGCAAGGCUA
Molecule: ribosomal RNA, 373 nt
Filed under: uncultured organism
Description: bacterial SSU rRNA
Rfam family: Bacterial small subunit ribosomal RNA
Source: RNAcentral